RNAcentral lists this long non-coding RNA (350 nucleotides) under Gallus gallus (chicken). RNAcentral's name for it is "long non-coding RNA NONGGAT011859". The record is from RNAcentral. Lineage: Eukaryota; Metazoa; Chordata; Aves; Galliformes; Phasianidae.
GUCUGUUGCUGUUGCUGCCACGGAGAACGUGGUACAGCAGCAGCUGGGAGUAACAGAUCUCCCCUGUGUGACUGGUGACAGCAUCUUUGUAGAAAAUGUUGCAGUCUGAACAGCGAAUGCAGAUGACAAGAACAGUUCCUAAUUGAAACUUAUCGCAAUGUGAUGGAGAAUGGCUAUAAAAGAAGACAUGCCUCUUAACACUUUUCAGCAACAUCCAACAUUGUGGACAUCUGUUUCUCAUAAAAGUUUCAGAUUGCCAGGGAGAAUUCACAUACCUCUGUAGCCUUAAGCAUGGCUGAGACAAAUACAGCUUCUGCAUUACUUUCUCUGAAAAAAAGCAUGUGAAUAAG